RNAcentral lists this ribosomal RNA (429 nucleotides) under bacterium. RNAcentral's name for it is "partial 16S ribosomal RNA". It matches the Rfam family "Bacterial small subunit ribosomal RNA", at positions 355 to 776 of the family's 1533-position model. The record is from RNAcentral.
UGGGGAAUCUUCCGCAAUGGACGAAAGUCUGACGGAGCAACGCCGCGUGAGUGAUGACGGCCUUCGGGUUGUAAAGCUCUGUUAAUCGGGACGAAUGGUUCUUGUGCGAAUAGUGCAAGGAUUUGACGGUACCGGAAUAGAAAGCCACGGCUAACUACGUGCCAGCAGCCGCGGUAAUACGUAGGUGGCAAGCGUUGUCCGGAGUUAUUGGGCGUAAAGCGCGCGCAGGCGGAUUGGUCAGUCUGUCUUAAAAGUUCGGGGCUUAACCCCGUGAUGGGAUGGAAACUGGCAAUCUAGAGUAUCGGAGAGGAAAGUGGAAUUCCUAGUGUAGCGGUGAAAUGCGUAGAUAUUAGGAAGAACACCAGUGGCGAAGGCGACUUUCUGGACGAAAACUGACGCUGAGGCGCGAAAGCCAGGGGAGCGAACGGG